GCCGGGCAUGGUGAUGCGUGCCUGUAGUCCCAGCUACUUGGGAGGCUGAGGCAGGAGAAUCGCUUGACACUGGGAGGCAGAGGUUGUAGUGAGCCGAUUGCGCCACUGCACUCUAGCCUGGUGACAGAGCGAGACUCUGUCUCAAAAAAAAAAAAAAAACUAUAUCUCAGUUUUUUGUUUCGUUCUGUUUUGUUUUUUGAGAUGGAGUCUCACUCUGUCACCCAGGCUGGAGUGCAGUGGUGCAAACUCGGCUCACUGCAACUUCUGCCUCCCGGGGUCAAGCAAUUCUCCUGCCUCAG
RNAcentral lists this signal recognition particle RNA (299 nucleotides) under Gorilla gorilla gorilla (western lowland gorilla). RNAcentral describes it as "Metazoan signal recognition particle RNA". It matches the Rfam family "Metazoan signal recognition particle RNA". Rfam says of the family: The signal recognition particle (SRP) is a universally conserved ribonucleoprotein. It is involved in the co-translational targeting of proteins to membranes. The eukaryotic SRP consists of a 300-nucleotide 7S RNA and six proteins: SRPs 72, 68, 54, 19, 14, and 9. Lineage: Eukaryota; Metazoa; Chordata; Mammalia; Primates; Hominidae. The record is from Rfam by way of RNAcentral.